AGAGUUUGAUCAGGGCUCAGGAUCAACGCUGGCGGCGUGCAUGGGACAUGCAAGUCGAACGGACGGCAUCGGGCUUGCCUGGUGUCGUUAGUGGCGGACGGCUGAGUAACGCGUAGGUGACCUGCCCCGAAGUGGGGAAUAACUGCCCGAAAGGGUGGCUAAUACCGCAUGUGGUGAUGCGUUCAUUCGCAUCAGUAAAGCCGCAAGGCGCUUCGGGAGGGGCCUGCGUCCGAUUAGCUCGUUGGUGGGGUAACGGCUCACCAAGGCGACGAUCGGUAGGUGGUCUGAGAGGACGAUCACCCAGACUGGGACUGAGACACGGCCCAGACUCCUACGGGAGGCAGCAGUCGGGAAUUUUGCGCAAUGGACGAAAGUCUGACGCAGCAACGCCGCGUGAGGGAUGACGGCCUUCGGGUUGUAAACCUCUUUUGUCAGGGACGAUGAUGACGGUACCUGACGAAUAAGCCACGGCUAACUACGUGCCAGCCGCCGCGGUAAUU
Molecule: ribosomal RNA, 500 nt
Filed under: uncultured bacterium
Lineage: Bacteria
Description: bacterial SSU rRNA
Rfam family: Bacterial small subunit ribosomal RNA
Source: RNAcentral